RNAcentral lists this ribosomal RNA (492 nucleotides) under uncultured bacterium. RNAcentral's name for it is "bacterial SSU rRNA". It matches the Rfam family "Bacterial small subunit ribosomal RNA", at positions 28 to 507 of the family's 1533-position model. The record is from RNAcentral.
GAUGAACGCUAGCUACAGGCUUAACACAUGCAAGUCGAGGGGAAACGACAUCGAAAGCUUGCUUCCGAUAGGCGUCGACCGGCGCACGGGUGAGUAACGCGUAUCCAACCUGCCCACCACUUGGGGAUAACCUUGCGAAAGUAAGACUAAUACCCGAUGAUAUCUCUAGACGACAUCUGAAAGGGAUUAAAGAUUUAUCGGUGAUGGAUGGGGAUGCGUCUGAUUAGCUUGUUGGCGGGGUAACGGCCCACCAAGGCAACGAUCAGUAGGGGUUCUGAGAGGAAGGUCCCCCACAUUGGAACUGAGACACGGUCCAAACUCCUACGGGAGGCAGCAGUGAGGAAUAUUGGUCAAUGGGCGAGAGCCUGAACCAGCCAAGUAGCGUGCAGGAAGACGGCCCUAUGGGUUGUAAACUGCUUUUAUAGGGGAAUAAAGUGAGCCACGUGUGGUUUUUUGCAUGUACCCUAUGAAUAAGGACCGGCUAAUUCCGUG